CCAGACCUUGACAUCCUUCUGAAUAUACCGUAAUGGGUAUAGGCCUUCGGGACAGAAGAGACAGGUGGUGCAUGGUUGUCGUCAGCUCGUGUCGUGAGAUGUUGGGUCAAGUCCCGCAACGAGCGCAACCCUUGUCACUAGUAGCCAGCAGUAAGAUGGGCACUCUAGUGAGACUGCCGGGGAUAACCCGGAGGAAGGUGGGGA
This 204-nucleotide ribosomal RNA is filed under the name Lachnospiraceae bacterium NK3A20. RNAcentral's name for it is "rumen bacterium NK3A20 Bacterial small subunit ribosomal RNA". It matches the Rfam family "Bacterial small subunit ribosomal RNA", at positions 974 to 1179 of the family's 1533-position model. Lineage: Bacteria; Bacillati; Bacillota; Clostridia; Lachnospirales; Lachnospiraceae. The record is from Rfam by way of RNAcentral.